UUUUUAGUAUAAGUAAGUCCCAUGCAAGAUUUGGGACUUACUUAUACUAAAA
This is a non-coding RNA of Ailuropoda melanoleuca (giant panda), 52 nucleotides long. Lineage: Eukaryota; Metazoa; Chordata; Mammalia; Carnivora; Ursidae. The record is from Rfam.